Long non-coding RNA from Oncorhynchus tshawytscha (Chinook salmon), 2477 nucleotides. The record is from Ensembl. NCBI's taxonomy places the organism in Eukaryota, Metazoa, Chordata, Actinopteri, Salmoniformes, Salmonidae.
CCUCCUCAUCUCCUCCCUCCUCCUCAUCUCCUCCCUCCUCAUCUCCUCCCUCCUCCUCUCCUCUCCUCCUCAUCUCCUCUCCUCUCCUCCUCAUCUCCUCCCUCCUCCUCAUCUCCUCCCUCCUCCUCUCCUCUCUUCCCUCCUCCUCAUCUCCUCCUCUCCUCCCCUAGUUGUGUGUGUUUUGACGUUGCGUUCCUUGACUGUAUUGCAUACCUUUUGUAAAAGCCUUAGCGUACAACACAGACCCAGUUGGGUAUCACUCUGUUAUGACCUGCAAGUGCUGUGCCAGUAUUCAACCAUGGUAGAUAAACAACCGCUCUACCAAAUAUAUAUCAUUCAAUCAACAAUAAUAAUUGUUUUACUUAAAUUAACUUUAUUGAGACGCUGAACUGAGGUGUGGAAUAAUAACUUUAUUGAGACGCUGAACUGAGGUGUGGAAUAAUAACUUUAUUGAGACGCUGAACUGAGGUGUGGAAUAAUAACUUUAUUGAGACGCUGAACUGAGGUGUGGAAUAAUAACUUUAUUGAGACGCUGAACUGAGGUGUGGAAUAAUAACUUUAUUGAGACGCUGAACUGAGGUGUGGAAUAAUAACUUUAUUGGAAAUUUGGAUUUGCACUUGGGAUUAUUUAAAGAUGGAAGGAGUGAGGACAGGACUAGGAGGCCGUCUGUCUCUCUGUCUGACUAGGAGGCUGUCUGUCUCUCUGUCUGACUAGGAGGCUGUCUGUCUCUGUCUGACUAGGAGGCUGUCUGUCUCUCUGUCUGACUAGGAGGCCGUCUGUCUCUCUGUCUGACUAGGAGGCCGUCUGUCUCUCUGUCUGACUAGGAGGCCGUCUGUCUCUCUGUCUGACUAGGAGGCCGUCUGUCUCUCUGUCUGACUAGGAGGCCGUCUGUCUCUCUGUCUGACUAGGAGGCUGUCUGUCUCUCUGUCUGACUAGGAGGCUGUCUGUCUCUCUGUCUGACUAGGAGGCUGUCUGUCUCUCUGUCUGACUAGGAGGCUGUCUGUCUCUUGGGCUGUGGUGUGUGUGUGUUGUGCUCUGACAGGGUAGACAGGCUGGUAGUGUGGUGGUAUGAGGGGUGUCUCUGUGCUGAUCUAGCCCAGCAGAGGGCACUGUCACGUGAGAUGAGCUUAACUACCUGUCAGGGUAGCAUGGUGCUGCUAGCACAAGGCUAGUUGCUGUUGUUUCAGAGUCCCGCCACUCAGCCUGACUCAGGAAAGGGUUCCGAUUGGCUCUUAGCCCGACUCAGGAAAGGGGUUCGAUUGGCUCUUAGCCCGACUCAGGAAAGUGUUCUGAUUGGCUCUCAGCCUGACUCAGGAAAGGGUUCCGAUUGGCUCUUAGCCUGACUCAGGAAAGGGUUCCGAUUGGCUCUCAGCCUGACUCAGGAAAGGGUUCCGAUUGGCUCUCAGCCUGACUCAGGAAAGGGUUUCUGAAUCUGAUUUGGUUCUUCAAAGCUGUUCAGGGAAAACCAUGCUCUGGGUGCAAGUCUCCCCUUAACACAGAUCUAUGAUCGGCUCCUCCCUACAUCCUAACCUUAAACCAUUUGGGGAGAAGGGGCCAGUGUCUGGGCAGGGCCAGGUAAAUAAAGCCCUCUGAUCAGUUAUCACCGGGUGUUAUUGUGUGCCUGUCGGAGUGGAUGGUUAGACGAGAGACAAGCCGUCUGUCUGUUGAGACGUGACGCGGCACCCAAGUGUUAAUCUCCUCUGUUUGGUGUGUCUCCCCCUACCCCUCUCUGUGUCUCUCUCUCUCUCUCUCUCUCUCUCUCUCUCUCUCUCUCUCUGUCUCUGUCUCUCUCUCUGUCUCUGUCUCCCUCUCUGUCUCUCUGUCUCUGUCUCUCUGUCUCUGUCUCUCUCUCCCUCCCUCUCUCUCUCUCUCUGUCUCUCUCUCUCUCUCUCUCCUCUCUCUCUCUCUCUCUCUGUCCCUCUCUCUCUCUCUCUCUGUCCCUCUCUCUCUCUCUCUCUCUCUCUCUCUCCCUCUCUCUCUCCCUCCUCUCUCUCUCUCUGUCCCUCUCUCUCUCUCUGUCCCUCUCUCUCCCUCUCUCUCUCUCUCUCUGUCCCUCUCUCUCUCUGUCCCUCUCUCUCUCUGUCCCUCUCUCUCUCUGUCUCUCCCUCCCUCUCUCUCUCUGUCCCUCUCUCUCUCUGUCUCUCCCUCCCUCUCUCUCUCUCCCUCUCUGUCUCUGUUUAACUCAACCCAGUGUAGUAGUAUGGUAUGUUCUUCGUCAUCACUACUACUGUCUUGCCAAACCAAGGAAGAAGAGGAAGGAAAGGGACGAUGUUGUUGUCGCUGGAAAAGCUGGACAACGUUUAUAUGCUUGAAAUCCAUUUUUUAUGUAUUGUAAUGUACAAUCCCCCUGAUAGGUGCCGAGCCGCCAGACGUAUUAUUCUCCUAUCUGAGAGACGCCCUGCGUAUUACCAUGGUUCUCCUAUCUGAGAGACGCCCUGCGUAUUACCAUGGUUCUCCUAUCUGAGAGACGCCCUGC